UCUUCACCACAGGAUCACCUUCAUCGGUCUUCACAACUGUGGCUUGGGCGAUCGUCGCAUGUCGGCUUGGAAGCAUUUCGAUCUCAGCCAACACCUUCUUUAUGUCGGUAAUAAGGCGAUCAGCAAGGCUCCUACUGAAGUCCUCUCUGAUCACCACACGGAGGACUGCAAUGUGUUGGGCAUUGGCAGGCAUAGUGUAGGCGGGAAUGAUCCAUCCAAACCUCCUUAGAGUUUCUGCUAUCUCGAAUACGGUGUGCUUGCUGCUGUCUUUGAGAGAGAAUGCCACGAGGGGUACACCAAUGUCCUUGGAGACGAUCUCAAACCGCCCUGUUUCCUCCAGUCCUUCCUUCAGUACUCUGGCGUUCUCCAUGCAAUUUUCCAUUAUGUUUUUGUACCCCUCAAAGCCCAAGCGGAUGAACUGGUAGUACUGUGCAAUUAUCUGACUGGAACCUUUAGAAAAAUUGAG
Molecule: unclassified non-coding RNA, 466 nt
Filed under: Hevea brasiliensis (rubber tree)
Lineage: Eukaryota; Viridiplantae; Streptophyta; Magnoliopsida; Malpighiales; Euphorbiaceae
Source: RNAcentral